RNAcentral lists this ribosomal RNA (497 nucleotides) under uncultured bacterium. RNAcentral describes it as "partial 16S ribosomal RNA". It matches the Rfam family "Bacterial small subunit ribosomal RNA", at positions 28 to 507 of the family's 1533-position model. The record is from RNAcentral.
GAUGAACGCUGGCGGCGUGCCUAAUACAUGCAAGUCGAGCGAACAGACGAGGAGCUUGCUCCUCUGACGUUAGCGGCGGACGGGUGAGUAACACGUGGAUAACCUACCUAUAAGACUGGGAUAACUUCGGGAAACCGGAGCUAAUACCGGAUAAUAUAUUGAACCGCAUGGUUCAAUAGUGAAAGACGGUUUUGCUGUCACUUAUAGAUGGAUCCGCGCCGCAUUAGCUAGUUGUUAAGGUAACGGGUUACCAAGGGGACGAUGCGUAGCCGACCUGAGAGGGUGAUCGGCCACACUGGAACUGAGACACGGUCCAGACUCCUACGGGAGGCAGCAGUAGGGAAUCUUCCGCAAUGGUCGAAAGCCUGACGGAGCAACGCCGCGUGAGUGAUGACGGUCUUCGGAUCGUAAAACUCUGUUAUUAGGGAAGAACAAAUGUGUAAGUAACUAUGCACGUCUUGACGGUACCUAAUCAGAAAGCCACGGCUAACUACGUG